AGAUGGAACAGCUAGCAAAUCCCAAAGCAUGGAUCAAUGCUGCAACACAGAUUUUUUUUUCACUUGGUCUUGGCUUUGGAAGCCUUAUUGCCUUUGCAAGUUACAAUGAACCCAAUAACAAUUGUGAACGGCAUGCCAUCAUUGUUUCUCUUAUUAACAGUGGCACAUCUAUAUUUGCCAGUAUUGUGACUUUUUCCAUUUAUGGAUUUAAGGCAACCUUUAACUAUGAAAACUGCCUGAGCAA
This is a non-coding RNA of Pelobates cultripes (western spadefoot toad), 244 nucleotides long. The record is from the annotation of a GenBank genome assembly. Lineage: Eukaryota; Metazoa; Chordata; Amphibia; Anura; Pelobatidae.